CAGCCGCCGCGGUAAUACCGGCGGCCCGAGUGGCGGUCACUAUUAUUGGGCUUAAAGCGUCCGUAGCCGGGUUGGGAAGUCCUCCGGGAAAUCUGGCCGCUUAACGGUCAGAAUGCCGGAGGAUACUCCCAGCCUAGGGAGCGGGGGAGGCCGAGGGGAUUCCCGGGGUAGGGGUGAAAUCCUAUAAUCCCGGGAGGACCACCUGUGGCGAAGGCGCUCGGCUGGAACGCGUCCGACGGUGAGGGACGAAGGCCAGGGGAGCAAACCGGAUUAGAUACCCGGGUAGUCCUGGCUGUAAACGAUGCGGACUUUGUGUCGGACAAGCUAUGAGCUUGUCCGGUGCCGGAGGGAAACCGUUAAGUCCGCCGCCUGGGGAGUACGGCCGCAAGGCUGAAACUUAAAGCAAUUGGCGGG
RNAcentral lists this ribosomal RNA (414 nucleotides) under uncultured microorganism. Its description in RNAcentral is "bacterial SSU rRNA". It matches the Rfam family "Archaeal small subunit ribosomal RNA", at positions 459 to 872 of the family's 1478-position model. The record is from RNAcentral.